RNAcentral lists this ribosomal RNA (429 nucleotides) under Chloroflexota bacterium. RNAcentral's name for it is "Chloroflexi bacterium partial 16S ribosomal RNA". It matches the Rfam family "Bacterial small subunit ribosomal RNA", at positions 355 to 776 of the family's 1533-position model. Lineage: Bacteria; Bacillati; Chloroflexota. The record is from RNAcentral.
UGGGGAAUAUUGCACAAUGGGCGCAAGCCUGAUGCAGCCAUGCCGCGUGUUUGAAGAAGGCCUUCGGGUUUUAAAGUACUUUCAGCGGGGAGGAAGGGAGUAAAGUUAAUACCUUUGCUCAUUGACGUUACCCGCAGAAGAAGCCCCGGCUAACUCCGUGCCAGCAGCCGCGGUAAUACGGAGGGUGCAAGCGUUAAUCGGAAUUACUGGGCGUAAAGCGCACGCAGGCGGUUUGUUAAGUCAGAUGUGAAAUCCCCGGGCUCAACCUGGGAACUGCAUCUGAUACUGGCAAGCUUGAGUCGCGUAGAGGGGGGUAGCAUUCCAGGUGUAGCGGUGAAAAGCGUAGAGAUCUGGGGGAAUACCGGUGGAGAAGGCGGCCCCCUGGACGAAGACUGACGCUCAGGUGCGAAAGCGUGGGGAGCAAACAGG